UGGGGAAUCUUCCGCAAUGGACGAAAGUCUGACGGAGCAACGCCGCGUGAGUGAUGACGGCCUUCGGGUUGUAAAGCUCUGUUAAUCGGGACGAAUGGUUCUUGUGCAAAUAGUGCGAGGAUUUGACGGUACCGGAAUAGAAAGCCACGGCUAACUACGUGCCAGCAGCCGCGUUAAUACGUAGGUGGCAAGCGUUGUCCGGAAUUAUUGGGCGUAAAGCGCGCGCAGGCGGAUUGGUCAGUCUGUCUUAAAAGUUCGGGGCUUAACCCCGUGAUGGGAUGGAAACUGCCAAUCUAGAGUAUCGGAGAGGAAAGUGGAAUUCCUAGUGUAGCGGUGAAAUGCGUAGAUAUUAGGAAGAACACCAGUGGCGAAGGCGACUUUCUGGACGAAAACUGACGCUGAGGCGCGAAAGCCAGGGGAGCGAACGGG
RNAcentral lists this ribosomal RNA (429 nucleotides) under bacterium. RNAcentral describes it as "partial 16S ribosomal RNA". It matches the Rfam family "Bacterial small subunit ribosomal RNA", at positions 355 to 776 of the family's 1533-position model. The record is from RNAcentral.